CACUUCUAAGGAAGGCAGCAGGCGCGCAAAUUACCCAAUCCUGACUCAGGGAGGUAGUGACAAGAAAUAACAAUAAACCGGCUUAUGCCGGUUUAAUUGGAAUGAGUACAAUUUAAACAUCUUAACGAGGAACAAUUGGAGGGCAAGUCUGGUGCCAGCAGCCGCGGUAAUUCCAGCUCCAAUAGCGUAUACUAAAGUUGUUGCAGUUAAAAAGCUCGUAGUUGGAUUUCUGUGGGGACGGAGCGGCCGGCCGCACAUCGCGGUUCGAGCUAGCGCUUUCCCUACAUCCUGCCGCGAACCGUGCUACCAUUAGUUUGGUGGCGCCGGGGAUCGGCUCGAUUACUUUGAGAAAAAUAGAGUGUUCAAAGCAGGCCACAUGCCUUGAAUAAGUUAGCAUGGAAUAAUAACUAAGGACUUCGGUUCUAUUUUGUUGGUGUUCGGGACUGAAGUAAUGAUUGAUAGGGACAGUUGGGGCGGUCUGUAUUCCAAAGCGAGAGGUGAAAUUCUUAGACCUUCGGAAGACAAACAGCUGCGAAAGCGUUCCGCAAGGAUGUUCCCUUUGAUCAAGAACGAAAGUUGGGGGAUCGAAGACGAUCAGAUACCGUCGUAGUCUCAACUAUAAACUAUACCAGCUAGGGAUCGGCCAACGUUAUUCUAUACCGACUUGGUCGGCACCUUAUGAGAAAUCAAAGCAUCUGGGUUCCGGGGGGAGUAUGGUCGCAAGGCUGAAACUUAAAGGAAUUGACGGAAGGGCACCACCAGCCGUGGAGCCUGUGGCUUAAUUUGACUCAACACGGGAAAACUUACCAGGUCCAGACAUAGUAAGGAUUGACAGAUUGAUAGCUCUUUCUUGAUUCUGUGGGUGGUGGUGCAUGGCCGUUCUUAGUUGGUGGAGUGAUUUGUCUGGUUAAUUCCGUUAACGAACGAGACCCCAGCCUGCUAAAUAGCGCGCGUGAGCUUUGCUCGCGGCGAGCUUCUUAGAGGGACUCUGAUGCGCGAUAGCACAUGGAAGUUUGGGGCAAUAACAGGUCUGUGAUGCCCUUAGAUGUUCUGGGCCGCACACGGGCUACACUGGCGCCUGCAACGAGCAUAUCAGCUGGCCCGAGAGGGUCUUGGCUAAUCUUUUGAACCGGCGCCGUGCUUGGGAUUGACCUUUGCAAUUGUUGGUCAUGCAACGAGGAAUGCCUUGUAAACGCGAGUCAUCAGCUCGCAUUGAAUACGUCCCUGCCCUUUGUACACACCGCCCGUCGCUCCUACCGAUGAAUGUUCCGAUGAAAUUUUCGGAGAGCACCUGUGAACUUGGCUCUGCCUUGCGAACGGGAGGCUCAAAGUCACUUAAAUCUGAACAUUUCGAGG
Molecule: ribosomal RNA, 1356 nt
Filed under: uncultured marine eukaryote
Lineage: Eukaryota
Description: SSU rRNA
Rfam family: Eukaryotic small subunit ribosomal RNA
Source: RNAcentral